RNAcentral lists this long non-coding RNA (501 nucleotides) under Laticauda laticaudata (blue-ringed sea krait). Its description in RNAcentral is "lncRNA (ENSLLTG00000011925.1)". Lineage: Eukaryota; Metazoa; Chordata; Lepidosauria; Squamata; Elapidae. The record is from RNAcentral.
UUUUUUUCCCUCCUCUUCUUCCUUCUCCUCCUCUUCCCCUUGUCAUUCCUCUUUACAGCUCACAUCAGCCACUCCUGGGGGAUCUGAAAGCAAAAUCCAAUAACAGCUACAAAGACUUCAAUGGCAACAAGCCAAAGGACUUCAAGUCCCAGCAGAACAGUCAAUUGAUCUCAGAGUCCUCCAGAAUAGACAACAGACAUCUCCAGUCCUGUAAGAAACCUGAAAAUACAUCCCGUUCAGGCCAAAUUUCAAGCCCAGCUUUGUGGAACAAGGAGAAAGUUGGCAGCCAUCUGCUCCGGAAGUCUCUAGAAUAUUCCUCCUCCAGUGACGAAAUCUGCAGCAGCGAUGAGGAUGAGGAGGGUGAUGGGCACAUAAGGCAACUGCUCGGCAACGGAGUGACCAGCUUCUCAAGGGCAGGAGUUGCUGACGGGAUCGAGCUGAACUCUCCCAGCCUUAUAGCGGAUCGCCAGGAUAAUGCUGCAGGAAAAUAUGGCUGUGACG